This is a long non-coding RNA of Cucumis melo (muskmelon), 585 nucleotides long. RefSeq lists it as uncharacterized. Lineage: Eukaryota; Viridiplantae; Streptophyta; Magnoliopsida; Cucurbitales; Cucurbitaceae. The transcript is spliced from 2 exons. The record is from RefSeq and is a predicted model, not a curated record.
UUAAGCCCAUCAUUUUAAAAUUAAAAAUUCACGCUUUAACGGUCAUAUUUCUCUACGAUCAUCCUAAUUAAAGCCGCUCCACUUGUCAACUUCAUCAAAUCGCUGCGUUUCUUUGUGGCACCGUCAAAAUUUUGUUUGGAUCGAAGAAAUUUUCCCCAUCCUGCCAUGGCCGUGUGAAAAUUUCUUCAAUGCAAACGGAAAUUUUAUCUUCCUUUCGCCAUGGAUUUCCAUAGCUUGUCAAGGAGAGAGACCCAAUCCUUUUGUAAGAGGAAUAAGAUUCCGGCCAAUAUCACUAAUGUCGCCAUGGCCGACACUCUUGCUGCUCGAUCUUCAAUCCGUUGAAGGAAUUGAAAGGAGUUUCCUGAAUUGCCGAUGAAAGCAGAGCUUAUUUCCUCGGAAAUUCCACGAACUGCACUGAGAAUUCGGAAAGAAGAAAGGCCUUUAAAGAUGAGGCAAUUACUACUCAAUCACAUCGAAAGUAAUUGUAUUUUUGGAUUUAACAUUUUGCCAUUUGUGUGGUUACCUUUAAUCACUUAUCUUGAAUAUGAGAACAAGUGGGACUGAGUUUAGUGUGAACCGUUCAAA